This 690-nucleotide ribosomal RNA is filed under the name Bacillus sp. FJAT-4656. RNAcentral describes it as "bacterial SSU rRNA". It matches the Rfam family "Bacterial small subunit ribosomal RNA", at positions 63 to 735 of the family's 1533-position model. Lineage: Bacteria; Bacillati; Bacillota; Bacilli; Caryophanales; Bacillaceae. The record is from RNAcentral.
CGAGCGAACUGAUUAGGAGCUUGCUCCUAUGACGUUAGCGGCGGACGGGUGAGUAACACGUGGGCAACCUGCCUGUAGAUUGGGAUAACUUCGGGAAACCGGUGCUAAUACCGGAUAGGAUCUUCUCCUUCAUGGGAGAUGAUUGAAAGAUGGUUUCGGCUGUCACUUUCAGAUGGGCCCGCGGUGCAUUAGCUAGUUGGUGAGGUAACGGCUCACCAAGGCAACGAUGCAUAGCCGACCUGAGAGGGUGAUCGGCCACACUGGGACUGAGACACGGCCCAGACUCCUACGGGAGGCAGCAGUAGGGAAUCUUCCACAAUGGACGAAAGUCUGAUGGAGCAACGCCGCGUGAGUGAUGAAGGAUUUCGGGUCGUAAAACUCUGUUGUUAGGGAAGAACAAGUACAAUAGUAACUGCUCGUACCUUGACGGUACCUAACCAGAAAGCCACGGCUAACUACGUGCCAGCAGCCGCGGUAAUACGUAGGUGGCAAGCGUUGUCCGGAAUUAUUGGGCGUAAAGCGCGCGCAGGUGGUUUCUUAAGUCUGAUGUGAAAGCCCACGGCUCAACCGUGGAGGGUCAUUGGAAACUGGGAAACUUGAGUGCAGAAGAGAAUAGCGGAAUUCCACGUGUAGCGGUGAAAUGCGUAGAGAUGUGGAGGAACACCAGUGGCGAAGGCGACUUUCUGGUCU